CGGGAUGUAGCUCAGCUUGGUUGAGAGUUGCCGCUUUGGAAGCGGAAGGUCGUAGGUUCAAAUCCUACCAUCCCGACCA
This 79-nucleotide transfer RNA is filed under the name Myxacorys chilensis ATA2-1-KO14. Its description in RNAcentral is "tRNA-Pro". It matches the Rfam family "tRNA". Rfam says of the family: Transfer RNA (tRNA) molecules are approximately 80 nucleotides in length. Their secondary structure includes four short double-helical elements and three loops (D, anti-codon, and T loops). Further hydrogen bonds mediate the characteristic L-shaped molecular structure. tRNAs have two regions of fundamental functional importance: the anti-codon, which is responsible for specific mRNA codon recognition, and the 3' end, to which the tRNAs corresponding amino acid is attached (by aminoacyl-tRNA synthetases). tRNAs cope with the degeneracy of the genetic code in two manners: having more than one tRNA (with a specific anti-codon) for a particular amino acid; and 'wobble' base-pairing, i.e. permitting non-standard base-pairing at the 3rd anti-codon position. The record is from RNAcentral. Lineage: Bacteria; Bacillati; Cyanobacteriota; Cyanophyceae; Leptolyngbyales; Leptolyngbyaceae. RNAcentral also lists the same sequence under 2 other names.